AGCAGCUGAAGAGAGCUGGACAGGGCUGAAGGCAGGGAGCUCCUUGGGAUGGGACCGCAGGCGGGCACCCAGCCCUGAACUGCUGUGGGAAACACAGCUCAUGAAGGAAUUCACCCACUGUAAAGGACUCCGGAACGGUUAGCAGUUUACGGAUUCACUGCCUGAGAGCAACAGAGUGUAUCCAGCACUGAAGUGUGACACACAUCGCAUGUCAUUAUUUAUCUUAAUGUCAUCCAGCCUGGCUUUGCUCCAUCCUUCUGGAUUGGCAGGAAAUCCAAUCUGGUCGUUCUAAGAAGACUUCUUGACUGUUGUGGGACUCUCCAGAUCCACAGUGCUUGCUUCAUGCAGAAAGUCAACAUGACCAUGAAAAUUAAACAUUUUGAAUUAGUUCAGGACAUCAAAGCAACUAUAGUAGAACUAAAGGCAUGAAGGAAGACUUCCAGAAUUGCAUAAGAAGGUGGCAGGAAUGACGAGGACUUGCCUCUCUCCCCUGAAAAGUGGGAGCGAUGAUUCCUGCUCGCUCGUUUUAAGAGCUGUUGCUGGGAUGAAGAUGUAGAUGUUGAAGCAAGUAUCUUGUUCACUGAGUGUUGUCUAUGCCGAGAGAAAGCACUGUGAAAGCAUAACAGACCCAGUGAACGGCUCCACACACUGUGAUCACGACACGAGGUCCUGAGUCUCUGAGCCACAGGGCUGUAAACACCAGAGUCUGUCACAAGAUAGAUACACUAGGAGACAACCUCGGGGGGACCUGUUUAUCUCCAAAGAAGGGCUAGCUACGUGUGGGACAAUGCUGUAGCAACGUUCAGCAACUGCAGAAAGCCACAGCUCCCAGUCAACCUCAUGUUCACGAGUGUAAACAACCAUGGAAAAUCUACAGUGUGGUGUGUGGCCAGGCUGUGAUGUUCAGUAGGUGUGGCUCGUGAUAUUUUCAACUUAUGACACAUUUAUUGAAAUGUAAUCCCGUUGUAAAUUGAGACACAUCUGCAUGAAUUGAUACAUAGGUUGAAAAUGUAUACAUAGUACACACAGAGAACAAGAGAUAAAGAUUACAGGAUAGAAUAGAUAGGCAGAUAGCUAGGUAGAUAGAUGAUAGAUAGAUAGA
Molecule: long non-coding RNA, 1102 nt
Organism: Chinchilla lanigera (long-tailed chinchilla)
Lineage: Eukaryota; Metazoa; Chordata; Mammalia; Rodentia; Chinchillidae
Exons: 6
Source: RefSeq, a predicted model, not a curated record